UAGCCCCUUUCUCUCUAAAGAGACCUAACCGUCACCACCACCCCACCACCCACCCCCCAUCACAUCACGUCGUCUCACCACCACCACACCGUCAGACCGCUGGAUCAAAGUGGUCAUCAACGUCACUGUCCUCAUUAGUCGUCUUUUCUCCCAUCACCCACUCCCUUUUUCUGAAAAACGGAGCUCGACAACUCAUAAAAGGUUGAUUGAGACCUCUGAGAAAGGGGAAGAGCAAAGAUCCAUCAGCCCUUCUCUCAAUCCGAUAGAUACAAGCCAGAAUCGGCAAUAUUGCUACCCAAACGACUCUUUCUCCUUCAAACCACCUCUGAAAAGUUCUCGGUCGAGGAAGGGCUAUUCCGAGUGGAUUCGGAGACUCGACGACGACACUAGCUUCAGUUCGCUGUCUCGAAAGAGGUAGACAGGUGGACGAGUUCGGUUCCUAGGAGCUCCACCCGCGGUACAUUGAGAGCGCUCCAGUUGUUCCGGAGCUUCAGUUCAUUGGUAGAUAAGGAGACGGUACAGAUUCUUAGACUUCCAUCUCAGCAUUGGUACAGGAGCACUCCACUUGUUCCGGAGUUGCAGUUCAGCGUGAUAUUGAGCCAGAGACGUCUUCCAGAUCUCGCAUCUAGUUGAGGUUAUUCACUACAAGAUCAGAGGGGAUUGGUUUGCCCACUAUAAGACUAGUGUGGGUGCCACUCACGUCUGUUUGGGAUGUGACACUUCUACAUGGAGUUGUGGUGAACUUGGUCUUGAAGCAAAUUGUGUAAGUUGAAGUUCUUAAAAUAUAAGGUAGACAGGGAAAUGGUACAGAUUCUUAGACUGCCAUCUCAGCAUUGGUACAGGAGCACUCCACUUGUUUCGAAGUUGCAGUUCAGCGUGGUAUGACUUUUUUGUAUAUAUAUGGGCAUGGCGGGGUCCUGUUCCGUCCUUAUUAUGUUAUGUACUCCAAGUAGAGGCUCGUAGGAAGAUGUGUACAACUAGAUGUCUUAUGACCUCCUCGGUCUAUAUUUUUGUUAGAUCCUUUGAUAGCCUUAUCGGCUUAUACAUGGGCACAAUUUGAUGAUGUACAUUUAUAUAUGCAGUUUUUUUGGGCAUGUAUCCCUUCCCGUUAUGAUAUUUAUGAGUUAGCUUUAUGACCCACUUAGAUAUGACUAUGAGAUGUACGUUUUGAGGUACUCGGUAGGUUAGCUCCGGGUGCUCGUCACGGCCCUCUGGCUGGGUCGUUACAGUUUGUCCAUAUAACCGAAGCUUAGGAGAGAAGAA
Molecule: long non-coding RNA, 1263 nt
Organism: Lycium barbarum (goji berry)
Lineage: Eukaryota; Viridiplantae; Streptophyta; Magnoliopsida; Solanales; Solanaceae
Exons: 7
Source: RefSeq, a predicted model, not a curated record